Molecule: non-coding RNA, 196 nt
Filed under: Metalysinibacillus saudimassiliensis
Lineage: Bacteria; Bacillati; Bacillota; Bacilli; Caryophanales; Caryophanaceae
Description: T-box
Rfam family: T-box leader
About the family: Uncharged tRNA acts as the effector for transcription antitermination of genes in the T-box leader family.
Source: RNAcentral
AUUUUUGCAAAGAUUGAUUUGCAGUAGUUUUUAUACUCCCUGUUUGAGAGAGUUGGCGGUCGCUGUGAGCUAACCAUAGUAUAAAAAUGAAUUACGUAUCAGGAGCAAAAUCGUGCCACGCCGCGUUAUGGUGAAUGAAGUGGAAGAGCAAUCUUCAAGCUGGGUGGUACCGCGUUUAUACAUAAACGUCCCUGCA